Non-coding RNA from Heterocephalus glaber (naked mole-rat), 383 nucleotides. The record is from RefSeq and is a predicted model, not a curated record. NCBI's taxonomy places the organism in Eukaryota, Metazoa, Chordata, Mammalia, Rodentia, Bathyergidae.
AUAAAACCACCUAUGUAAGUCACCACAAGUAACUGGACACAGACUUGUGUGGACAUUUUGGUUGAGUAAAGCAGUGGGUCACAGAUUGCCACAAAGCGAUCAUAUGCCAUGGCAGCCAGAAGGAAGCACUCAGCUGUCCCGAAGAACACAGUUGAGCCAAGCUGGAUGCCACAUCCAAGGAUAAGAAACUGAAAAGGAUCUCUAGAAGAAGCCCACAGAAUCCAUGAACCCCAGUAACAAUUUUUGGCAAGCCAACCAGAAGAUCCUGAUUGGAGAAAAAGCAAGAUGAAGAACAGUUUUUUAGGACAAUCUGGGAAGAUAUUUGGGCCCACUCUCUGGUACAAUGAUCCUCAUAAUAGAAUAAUUCUCCACCUCACUCAGAC